GAUGAAGAACGCAGCGAAAUGCGAUAAGUAGUGUGAAUUGCAGAAUUCAGUGAAUCAUCGAAUCUUCGAACGCACAUUGCGCCCCUUGGUAUCCCGAGGGGCAUGCCUGUUCGAGCGUCAUUUCACCACUCAAGCCUGGCUUGGUGUUGGGCGACGUCCUCUUUGGGGACGCGCCUCGAAACGCUCGGCGGCGUGGCACCGGCUUUAAGCGUAGCAGAAUCUUUCGCUUUGGAAGUCGGGGCCCCGUCUGCCGGAAGACCUGCUCGCAAGGUUGACCUCGGAUCAGGCAGGGAUACCCGCUGAACUUAAGCAUAUCAAUAAGCGGAGGA
This 329-nucleotide unclassified non-coding RNA is filed under the name soil metagenome. Its description in RNAcentral is "partial contains 5.8S ribosomal RNA, internal transcribed spacer 2, and large subunit ribosomal RNA". The stretch from base 1 to 120 matches the Rfam family "5.8S ribosomal RNA", at positions 35 to 154 of the family's 154-position model. The record is from RNAcentral.